AGAGUUUGAUCAUGGCUCAGGAUUAACGCUGGCGGCAUGCCUAAUACAUGCAAGUCGAACGAGAGUAGCAAUACUCUAGUGGCGAACGGGUGAGUAACACGUGGGUAACCUACCAUUAAGUCGAGGAUAACUACUGGAAACGGUAGCUAAAACUGGAUAGUAUAAUUUGAGGCAUCUCGAAUUAUUUAAAAGUCCUUAUGGGAAUGCUUAAUGAUGGGCCCGCGGCGCAUUAGCUAGUUGGUGGGGUAACGGCCUACCAAGGCGACGAUGCGUAGCUGUGCUGAGAGGCAGAACAGCCACACUGGGACUGAGACACGGCCCAGACUCCUACGGGAGGCAGCAGUAGGGAAUUUUCGGCAAUGGGCGAAAGCCUGACCGAGCAAUGCCGCGUGAACGAAGAAGGUCUUCGGACUGUAAAGUUCUGUUAUAGAGGAAGAAAGAUAUAUAGAGGAAAUGCUAUAUAUUUGACGGUACUUUAUGAGGAAGCCCCGGCUAACUAUGUGCCAGCAGCCGCGGUAAUACAUAGGGGGCAAGCGUUAUCCGGAAUUAUUGGGCGUAAAGGGUGCGUAGGCGGCUGAUUAAGUCUGGUGUGAAAUUUCACGGCUUAACCGUGAAGGGUCAUUGGAAACUGAUUGGCUUGAAUACAGAAGAGGUAAGUGGAAUUCCAUGUGUAGCGGUAAAAUGCUUAGAUAUAUGGAGGAACACCAGUGGCGAAGGCGGCUUACUGGUCUGUCAUUGACGCUGAUGCACGAAAGCGUGGGUAGCAAACAGGAUUAGAUACCCUGGUAGUCCACGCCGCAAACGAUGAGCACUAAGUGUCGGGCGAGAGCUCGGUGCUGAAGUUAACGCAUUAAGUGCUCCGCCUGGGGAGUACGGUCGCAAGACUGAAACUCAAAGGAAUUGACGG
RNAcentral lists this ribosomal RNA (907 nucleotides) under uncultured bacterium. RNAcentral describes it as "bacterial SSU rRNA". It matches the Rfam family "Bacterial small subunit ribosomal RNA", at positions 8 to 916 of the family's 1533-position model. The record is from RNAcentral.